RNAcentral lists this unclassified non-coding RNA (263 nucleotides) under plant metagenome. RNAcentral's name for it is "partial contains small subunit ribosomal RNA, internal transcribed spacer 1, and 5.8S ribosomal RNA". The record is from RNAcentral.
GUUCCGUAGGUGAACCUGCGGAAGGAUCAUUAUUGUAUAACCGAGGUGCGAGGGCUGUCGCUGACCCGAAAGGUCGUGCACGCCCGAGUGCCCUCACACACAUCCAUCUCACCCCUAUGUGCACCACCGCGUGGGUCCCCCUUUGGCUUGUUCGGAGGGGGGCUUACGUUUUCACACAAACUUUGUAUGCAGUGUAGAAUGUAUUUUUUGUUUUUGCGAUCACGCAAUCAAUACAACUUUCAACAACGGAUCUCUUGGCUCUC